This 1379-nucleotide ribosomal RNA is filed under the name Paraburkholderia fungorum. Its description in RNAcentral is "partial 16S ribosomal RNA". It matches the Rfam family "Bacterial small subunit ribosomal RNA", at positions 88 to 1466 of the family's 1533-position model. Lineage: Bacteria; Pseudomonadati; Pseudomonadota; Betaproteobacteria; Burkholderiales; Burkholderiaceae. The record is from RNAcentral.
GUGCCGAGUGGUAAACGGGUGAGUAAUACAUCNGAACGUGUCCUGUCNUGGGGGAUAUGCCGGUNAAAGCCGGAUUAAUCCCGCAUACNCUCUNCNGAGGAAAGGGGGGGAUCUUCUGACCUCCCGCUACUAGGGCGGGCGAUGGNNGAUUACCUAGGUGGUGAGGUAAAGGCCUACCAAGGCGACGAUCUGUCNCUGGGCUGAUAAGACNACCNCCCACCCUGGGACUGAGACACGGNCCNGACUCCUUGGGGAGGGGGCAGUGGGGAAUUUUGGACAAUGGGGGCGACCCUGAACCGUCUUUGCCUUGUGUGUGAAUAACGCCUUCGGGUUGUAAAACACUUUUGUCCGAAAAAAAAACGCCNNGNUUAAUACCCGUGGCGGAUGACNUACCCGGAAGAAUAANCACCGGCUAACUACCUGCCANCANCCGCGGUAAUACNUAGUNGUGCAAGCGUUAAUCGAAAUUACUGGGCUUAAACUGUGCGCUGGCUUUCCGCUAAGACAAAUGUGAAAUCCCCGGGCUUAACCUGGNAACUGCAUUUGUGACUGGCUGGCUAGAUUAUGGCAAAAGGGGGUAGAAUUCCACGUGGUAGCAUUGAAAUGCGUAGAGAUGUGAAGGGAAUACCGAUGGCGAAGGCAGCCCCCUGGGCCCAUACUGACGCUCAUGCUCUAAAGAUGGGGGAGCAAACGGGAUUAGAUACCCUGGUAGUCCACGCCCUAAACGAUGUCAACUACUUGUCGGGUCUUCAUUGACUUGGUAACUUAACUUACGCGUGAUGGUGACCGCCUGGCGAGUACGGUCGCAAUGUUAAUACUCUUAGGAAUUAACGCAGACCCGCACAAGCGGUGGAUGAUGUGGAUUAAUUCGAUGCAACGCGAAAAACCUUACCUACCCUUGACAUGUAUGGAAUNNUGNUGAGAGGUGGGAGUGCCCGAAAGGGAGCCAUAACACAGGUGNUGCAUGGCUGUNGUCAGCUCGUGUCGUGAGAUGUUGGGUUAAGUCCCGCAACGAGCGCAACCCUUGUCCCUAGUUGNUACGCAAGAGCACUNUAGGGAGACUGCCGGUGACAAACCGGAGGAAGGUGGGGAUGACGUCAAGUCCUCAUGGCCCUUAUGGGUAGGGCUUCACACGUCAUACAAUGGUCGGAACAGAGGGUCGCCAACCCGCGAGGGGGAGCCAAUCCCAGAAAACCGAUCNUAGUNCGGAUCGCACUCUGCAACUCGAGUGCNUGAAGNUGGAAUCGCUAGUAAUCGCGGAUCAGCAUGCCGCGGUGAAUACGUUCCCGGGUCUUGUACACACCGCCCGUCACACCAUGGGAGUGGGUUUUACCAGAAGUGGNUAGUCUAACCGCAAGGAGGNCGNUCACCACGGUAGG